UGCGUAGGCGGCGCGGUAAGUCGGGUGUGAAAUCUCGGAGCUUAACUCCGAAACUGCAUUCGAUACUGCCGUGCUCGAGGACUGGAGAGGAGACUGGAAUUUACGGUGUAGCGGUGAAAUGCGUAGAUAUCGUAAGGAAGACCAGUGGCGAAGGCGGGUCUCUGGACAGUUCCUGACGCUGAGGCACGAAGGUCAGGGAGGCAAACG
This 207-nucleotide ribosomal RNA is filed under the name uncultured bacterium. RNAcentral describes it as "partial 16S ribosomal RNA". It matches the Rfam family "Bacterial small subunit ribosomal RNA", at positions 568 to 774 of the family's 1533-position model. The record is from RNAcentral.